RNAcentral lists this long non-coding RNA (394 nucleotides) under Mytilus galloprovincialis (Mediterranean mussel). Lineage: Eukaryota; Metazoa; Mollusca; Bivalvia; Mytilida; Mytilidae. The record is from RNAcentral.
GUACAUUUACAUGUAAUAAAAUUACCCCAGUAUGUUAAAAUGUAUUGCUGCAGAAAAUCAUGUGACAAACAGAGGAUUUUUCAAAUGAUUCAUAAUAACUCUAGUUUGAACAGACCAAUUUUCUUAAUCUGUAGGUCUUCAUCAUGAAGGUUAGGUUGUAGGUAUAAAGUAGAAAAUCAAAGAAUAUGGGGAAACCAUUGAUGACAAAAAAAUCAGUACACACACAACAAAAAGCAAAGAAACAGUGCUUUUAUUGCUGGUCUUCAUCUCAAACUCACAGUGAAGUCAUCAACACAGAGCAAAAAUAUGUGCAUGCUCACAAUUUUAAAUCUUGGCUCUCCCAUUUAAAGAAUCUGUAUGUUACAUGUAAUUUGUGAUAGUAUAGUAGGCAGGC